RNAcentral lists this ribosomal RNA (468 nucleotides) under uncultured bacterium. RNAcentral describes it as "partial 16S ribosomal RNA". It matches the Rfam family "Bacterial small subunit ribosomal RNA", at positions 28 to 507 of the family's 1533-position model. The record is from RNAcentral.
GACGAACGCUGGCGGCGUGCUUAACACAUGCAAGUCGAACGGAAAGGCCCUGCUUUUGUGGGGUGCUCGAGUGGCGAACGGGUGAGUAACACGUGAGUAACCUGCCCUUGACUUUGGGAUAACUUCAGGAAACUGGGUCUAAUACCGGAUAUGAGCUCCUGCUGCAUGGUGUUGGUUGGAAAGUUUCGGCGGUUGGGGAUGGACUCGCGGCUUAUCAGCUUGUUGGUGUGGUAGUGGCUUACCAAGGCUUUGACGGGUAGCCGGCCUGAGAGGGUGACCGGCCACAUGGGGACUGAGAGACGGACCAGACGCCUACGGGAGGCAGUAGGGGGGAAUAUUGCACAGUGGGGGGGAGCCUGAUGCAGAGACGCCGCGUGCGGGAUGACGGCCUUCGGGUUGUAAACCGAUUUCGCAGGUGACGAAGAGUGAGUGACGGUAAUGGGUAAAGAAGCAACGGCUAACUACGUG